RNAcentral lists this ribosomal RNA (355 nucleotides) under uncultured bacterium. RNAcentral describes it as "bacterial SSU rRNA". It matches the Rfam family "Bacterial small subunit ribosomal RNA", at positions 29 to 368 of the family's 1533-position model. The record is from RNAcentral.
AACGAACGCUGGCGGCGUGGAUAAGACAUGCAAGUCGAGCGGGAACUUUCGCUGUAGCAAUACAGUGAAAGUUCUAGCGGCGAACGGGUGCGUAACACGUGGACAAUCUGCCUUAAAGUGGGGGAUAGCUCGGCGAAAGCCGAAUUAAUACCGCAUGUGAUGAGAGACGACAUCGUCUUGAAAUCAAAGCCGGGGCAACCUGGCGCUUUUUGAGGAGUCCGCGGCCAUCAGCUUGUUGGUGAGGUAACGGCUCACCAAGGCUAUGACGGGUAGCUGGUCUGAGAGGACGACCAGUCACACUGGAACUGAGACACGGUCCAGACACCUACGGGUGGCAGCAGUCGAGUAAUUUUUG